UAGUCCACGCCGUAAACGAUGUCUACUUGGAGGUUGGUGCCUUGAGCACUGGCUUUCGGAGCUAACGCGUUAAGUAGACCGCCUGGGGAGUACGGUCGCAAGAUUAAAACUCAAAUGAAUUGACGGGGGCCCGCACAAGCGGUGGAGCAUGUGGUUUAAUUCGAUGCAACGCGAAGAACCUUACCUACUCUUGACAUCCAGAGAAUCCUUUAGAGAUAGAGGAGUGCCUUCGGGAGCUCUGAGACAGGUGCUGCAUGGCUGUCGUCAGCUCGUGUUGUGAAAUGUUGGGUUAAGUCCCGCAACGAGCGCAACCCUUAUCCUUGUUUGCCAGCACUUCGGGUGGGAACUCCAGGGAGACUGCCGGUGAUAAACCGGAGGAAGGUGGGGACGACGUCAAGUCAUCAUGGCCCUUACGCUCUGGGCUACACACGUGCUACAAGGGCCUGACAAAGAGUUGCUACUUUGUGAAAACAAGCUAAUCUCAUAAACGCGGCCUUAGUUCGGAUUGCAGG
RNAcentral lists this ribosomal RNA (512 nucleotides) under uncultured bacterium. RNAcentral describes it as "bacterial SSU rRNA". It matches the Rfam family "Bacterial small subunit ribosomal RNA", at positions 791 to 1304 of the family's 1533-position model. The record is from RNAcentral.